Molecule: RNA transcript, 1329 nt
Organism: Panicum virgatum (switchgrass)
Lineage: Eukaryota; Viridiplantae; Streptophyta; Magnoliopsida; Poales; Poaceae
Gene name: DCN1-like protein 4
Exons: 11
Source: RefSeq, a predicted model, not a curated record
GCGCCCCUCCUCCGUCUUCCUUCCCUUCUCUUCUUCCCCCGACAGCGAACUCGGGAGCCGAGACUCCCGACCGAGAAGGGGAGAACUCGGCGACGGCGAGCCGAGGGGAGAACAACCCGAGAGGGGUCCUUAAUCAGCGAUCGAAGAAGGUGGGUGCAGGAGCAAGCCAGCCCGCUGCCACCAUGAGGCGCGCCUCGAAGAAGUCGUCCUCGUCCGCCGCGACCGCCAGCGCUGGUGCGGAACAAGUAAAUGAAAAACAAAACAGAAAAAGAAAAGGAGUCAGUACAGACCUGACCAGCAGGAAAGCACAACGUGGCCCUACGAAAGCAGUUUCCAAGGAAGUUGAACGGAUUGAUCAAUUUUUCUAUGCUUACGCUGAUAACUCAUCUGGCAUGAUUGACCCAGAAGGCAUUGAAACACUCUGUUCUCAUCUCGAAGUUCCCCAUACCGAUGUUAGGAUUCUGAUGUUAGCAUGGAAAAUGGGCUGUGAGAAGCAAGGUUACUUUACCUUGGAUGAAUGGCGAACCGGUUUGAAAGCUCUUCGAGCUGACAGUAUCAGUAAGCUGAAGAAAGCAUUCCCAGAAUUGGUUCAAGAGGUUACAAGGCCAACCAAUUUCCAGGAUUUCUACACAUAUGCAUUUCGUUAUUGCCUCACAGAGGAUAAGAAGAAGUGUAUAGAAGUACCGGUUGCUUGUGAGUUGCUGAAUCUAGUAUUAGGCUUGCAGUUCCGCCCCCAGGUUGACAAGCUUAAUAAUUACCUCAAGUACCAAAAUGACUACAAGGUGAUAAACAUGGACCAAUGGAUGGGAUUUAUUCGGUUCUGUAAUGAGAUAAACUUCCCAUCACUCGACAAUUAUGAUUCGGACCUUGCUUGGCCUUUGAUUCUAGACAAUUUUGUUGAGUGGCUACGAGAAAAUAGAAGUUAGAUCUUCUAUUCCUGCAAUGGUGGUGAAGAUGUCGUCCAAAAUGUAAUAUUCAAGAAUGUAGCACCCUGAAGGCUCCGGAGGAUGCAGAUUCAGCUUGUUUAUGAUUGCUUUGGUGGAGGCUGGCUACAGAAAUCUUCGAUCACUUUCUUGUGUCGCCUUUUGAUUUUGGGUGUUUUUGAAACUGGAAACGGUCUAUGUUUUUUGGCUAUGUUGCGUUCAAUCAGUUUUGGUAUACUCCAUUUUUUAGAGCUUUGCAAGUUGCAAAUCUUUCUGGAAUGUGCCGUCUUAGUGUGUGUUUUGGUGAAACAGAUAGGGUAAGUUUCAAGCUGGCUGGCAUUGCAACCUGGAACUCCACUUUGGUCCAUUUUCCAAGGAGGGAAGCCCGGAUAGUUGAUGGGCCCCA